Molecule: ribosomal RNA, 460 nt
Filed under: uncultured bacterium
Lineage: Bacteria
Description: partial 16S ribosomal RNA
Rfam family: Bacterial small subunit ribosomal RNA
Source: RNAcentral
CCUACGGGUGGCAGCAGUGAGGAAUAUUGGUCAAUGGGCGAAAGCCUGAACCAGCCACGCCGCGUGAAGGAUGAAGGAUCUCUGGUUUGUAAACUCUUUUUAUAUGGGAAUAAAGUGAGGAACGUGUUCCUUAUUGUAUGUCCCACAUGAAUAAGCAUAGGCUAACUACGCGCAAGCAGCAGGGGUAAUACGGAGGUGCCGAGCUUGAUCCGGAUUUAUUGGGUUUAAGGGGUGCGUAGGUGGGUAAUUAGGUCAGCGGUGAAAGUUUGUGGCUCAACCAUAAAAUUGCCGUUGAUACUGGUUGGCUUGAGUAUAUGUGAGGUAGGCGGAAUGCGUGGUGUAGCGGUGAAAUGCAUAGAUAUCACGCAGAACUCCGAUUGCGAAGGCAGCUUACGAAACCAUGACUGACGCUGAUGCACGAAAGCGUGGGGAUCAAACAGGAUUAGAUACCCGAGUAGUC